Molecule: long non-coding RNA, 937 nt
Organism: Rattus rattus (black rat)
Lineage: Eukaryota; Metazoa; Chordata; Mammalia; Rodentia; Muridae
Exons: 4
Source: RefSeq, a predicted model, not a curated record
CGUGUCUCUGUGUCUGUCUCUUUGUGCUUUUGUGACUAUGAAUCUAUGGGUUGUGUGAGCCCAGGUCUGGAUCCAAGGCCCGAGAGUGUUUGUUGUGAAGCAGGUCCAGUGAGAGUCCACGUUGUAGCAGUCCUUUCUGGGCUGAGGUCAGCGUUGUGUGAGAAGGACAGGUUGGAUUGUGAGGGGAAGCCUUAAGCCCGCAUGCCUGGCUUGGGGUGGUAUAUUCAUUCUUUCUUUGGAUAUGUCCUCGUCUUCUGCUCAGGGUGCCGGGCGACCUGGAGUUGGGAUUGCGGACUUGAUCUUCCCGGACCUUCUGAGGCCUCGGUCGUGGACAGAUGGCGGCUGGAUGACUCUUUGGCCCAGCAUCAGCCUAAAGUCCCAUUGAAGGGAUGCAAGAGAUAGCAAGCUGUGUGCACGAGGUGCCGGGCGACCUGGAGUUGGGAUUGUGGACUUGAUCUUCCCGGACCUUCUGAGGCCUCGGUCGUGGACAGAUGGCGGCUGGAUGACUCUUUGGCCCAGCAUCAGCCUAAAGUCCCAUUGAAGGGAUGCAAGAGAUAGCAAGCUGUGUGCACGAGGUGCCGGGCGACCUGGAGUUGGGAUUGCGGACUUGAUCUUCCCGGACCUUCUGAGGCCUCGGUAGGUGGACAGAUGGCGGCUGGAUGACUCUUUGGCCCAGCAUCAGCCUAAAGUCCCAUUGAAGGGAUGCAAGAGAUAGCAAGCUGUGUGCACGAGGUGCCGGGCGACCUGGAGUUGGGAUUGCGGACUUGAUCUUCCCGGACCUUCUGAGGCCUCGGUCGUGGACAGAUGGCGGCUGGAUGACUCUUUGGCCCAGCAUCAGCCUAAAGUCCCAUUGAAGGGAUGCAAGAGAUAGCAAGCUGUGUGCACGAGUAAGUAGGACGAGGUUUCCUGGGCUCUUCUUGUCAUCUCCCAUCGGAGC